CCUACGGGAGGCAGCAGUGAGGAAUAUUGGACAAUGGGGGAAACCCUGAUCCAGCAAUGCCGCGUGAGUGAUGAAGGCCUUAGGGUUGUAAAGCUCUUUUACCAGGGAUGAUAAUGACAGUACCUGGAGAAUAAGCUCCGGCUAACUCCGUGCCAGCAGCCGCGGUAAU
RNAcentral lists this ribosomal RNA (169 nucleotides) under uncultured bacterium. RNAcentral describes it as "partial 16S rRNA". It matches the Rfam family "Bacterial small subunit ribosomal RNA", at positions 338 to 524 of the family's 1533-position model. The record is from RNAcentral.